This 72-nucleotide transfer RNA is filed under the name Bos taurus (domestic cattle). It matches the Rfam family "tRNA". Rfam says of the family: Transfer RNA (tRNA) molecules are approximately 80 nucleotides in length. RNAcentral also lists the same sequence under 1 other name. The record is from Rfam by way of RNAcentral. Lineage: Eukaryota; Metazoa; Chordata; Mammalia; Artiodactyla; Bovidae.
UCCCUGGUGGCUCAAACGGUAAGGAGUCUGCCUGCAGUGCAGGAGAUCCAGGUUUGAUCCCUGGAUUGGGAA